AAGACUAUACUUUCAGGGAUCAUUUCUAUAGUGCUGUACUUGAGAAAGGUGUGUCAAAGUGGUAGAUCUCGCAUCCAUGAUGACGAUUAAAGAUAUCCCGUUCAGAGCAUGAAUCUGGUGGUUAGAAGUGACUUUGCUCAUUUUUCUUCCACCUUUGAUGACUGUUCCUUGUUCUUCAAUGAACGUGGAUGAAGGAAUAUGUUCUGAGUGGA
This 212-nucleotide small nucleolar RNA is filed under the name Oncorhynchus tshawytscha (Chinook salmon). RNAcentral describes it as "Small nucleolar RNA U3". It matches the Rfam family "Small nucleolar RNA U3". From Rfam's summary of the family: Small nucleolar RNAs (snoRNAs) are involved in the processing and modification of rRNA in the nucleolus. Lineage: Eukaryota; Metazoa; Chordata; Actinopteri; Salmoniformes; Salmonidae. The record is from Rfam by way of RNAcentral.